RNAcentral lists this ribosomal RNA (271 nucleotides) under Pseudoalteromonas sp. 5Ae-yellow. RNAcentral's name for it is "partial 23S ribosomal RNA". It matches the Rfam family "Bacterial large subunit ribosomal RNA", at positions 1449 to 1720 of the family's 2925-position model. The record is from RNAcentral. Lineage: Bacteria; Pseudomonadati; Pseudomonadota; Gammaproteobacteria; Alteromonadales; Pseudoalteromonadaceae.
UAUAAUUGCGAUGGGGGGACGGAGCAGGCUAAGCAAGCAUGGCGUUGGUAGUCCAUGUGAAAGUGAGUAGGGCGUUUGUUUAGGUAAAUCCGGACGAACACUAAACCUGAGACACGAGACGAGUCACUAAGGUGAUGAAGUUGCUGAUGCCAUACUUCCAGGAAAAGCCUCUAAGCUUCAGAUUAUAUGGAAUCGUACCCCAAACCGACACAGGUGGUCAGGUAGAGAAUACUAAGGCGCUUGAGAGAACUCGGGUGAAGGAACUAGGCAA